GUUAGCAAUAAUGAGGCGUGAGAGUGGCGGAUUGGCGAGUAACACGUGAGCAACCUGCCCUGAGGUUGGGGAAAACCGCUGGAAACGGCGGCUAAUAUCCGAUGGAGCGCCCAUGGACAUGAGUGGAGCGCGAAAGGGGGUCCGCAAGGGCUCCCGCCACGGGAUGGGCUCGCGCAUCAUCAGCUUGUUGGCGGGGUAACGGCCCACCAAGGCGUACGAUUAGCUGGUCUGAGAGGAUGACCCAGCCGCACUGGGACUGAGAUACUGCCCAGACUCCUACGGGAGGCUGCAGUCGAGGAUCAUUCGCAAUGGGGGAAACCCUGACGAUGCGACGCUGCGUGGAAGGAUGAAGGCCUUCGGGUUGUAAACUCCUGUCAUGAGGGAAAAGGCGAGGGGACCCAACACGUCUCUUAGUUGAUGGUACCUCAAGAGGAAGGGACGGCUAACUCUGUGCCAGCCGCCGC
Molecule: ribosomal RNA, 464 nt
Filed under: uncultured bacterium
Lineage: Bacteria
Description: bacterial SSU rRNA
Rfam family: Bacterial small subunit ribosomal RNA
Source: RNAcentral